UAGGGAAUCUUCCGCAAUGGACGCAAGUCUGACGGAGCAACGCCGCGUGAGUGAAGAAGGAUUUCGGUUCGUAAAACUCUGUUGUUAGAGAAGAACAGCGCAUAGAGUAACUGUUAUGCGUGUGACGGUAUCUAACCAGAAAGCCACGGCUAACUACGUGCCAGCAGCCGCGGUAAUACGUAGGUGGCAAGCGUUGUCCGGAUUUAUUGGGCGUAAAGCGAGCGCAGGCGGUUAGAAAAGUCUGAAGUGAAAGGCAGUGGCUCAACCAUUGUAGGCUUUGGAAACUGUUUAACUUGAGUGCAGAAGGGGAGAGUGGAAUUCCAUGUGUAGCGGUGAAAUGCGUAGAUAUAUGGAGGAACACCAGUGGCGAAGGCGACUCUCUGGUCUGUAACUGACGCUGAGGUUCGAAAGCGUGGGUAGCAAACAGG
Molecule: ribosomal RNA, 428 nt
Filed under: Bacteroidota bacterium
Lineage: Bacteria; Pseudomonadati; Bacteroidota
Description: Bacteroidetes bacterium partial 16S ribosomal RNA
Rfam family: Bacterial small subunit ribosomal RNA
Source: RNAcentral